This 478-nucleotide ribosomal RNA is filed under the name uncultured bacterium. RNAcentral's name for it is "partial 16S ribosomal RNA". It matches the Rfam family "Bacterial small subunit ribosomal RNA", at positions 28 to 507 of the family's 1533-position model. The record is from RNAcentral.
GAUGAACGCUGGCGGCGUGCUUAACACAUGCCAGUCGAACGAGAAGUGAAGACGGAAACCUUCGGGCGGAAGGCUUUAUUUCGAGUGGCGGACGGGUGAGUAACGCGUGGGUAACCUGCCUCAUACAGGGGGAUAACAGUUGGAAACGACUGUUAAUACCGCAUAAGACCACAGCACCGCAUGGUGCGGGGGUAAAAACUCCGGUGGUAUGAGAUGGACCCGCGUUCGAUUAGCCAGUUGGCGGGGUAACGGCCCACCAAAGCGACGAUCGAUAGCCGAUCUGAGAGGAUGACCGGCCACAUUGGGACUGAGACACGGCCCAAACUCCUACGGGAGGCAGCAGUGGGGAAUAUUGCACAAUGGGGGAAACCCUGAUGCAGCGACGCCGCGUGAGUGAAGAAGUAUUUCGGGAUGUAAAGCUCUAUCAGCAGGGAAGAAAAUGACGGUACCUGAGUAAGAAGCCCCGGCUAACUACGUG